RNAcentral lists this ribosomal RNA (496 nucleotides) under uncultured bacterium. Its description in RNAcentral is "partial 16S ribosomal RNA". It matches the Rfam family "Bacterial small subunit ribosomal RNA", at positions 34 to 506 of the family's 1533-position model. The record is from RNAcentral.
UCUUCCCUCUGGCGGCGUGCCUAAUACAUGCAAGUCGAGCGAACGGACGAGAAGCUUGCUUCUCUGAUGUUAGCGGCGGACGGGUGAGUAACACGUGGAUAACCUACCUAUAAGACUGGGAUAACUUCGGGAAACCGGAGCUAAUACCGGAUAAUAUUUUGAACCGCAUGGUUCAAAAGUGAAAGACGGUCUUGCUGUCACUUAUAGAUGGAUCCGCGCUGCAUUAGCUAGUUGGUAAGGUAACGGCUUACCAAGGCAACGAUGCAUAGCCGACCUGAGAGGGGGAUGGGCCAAGCUGGAACGGAAGCAGGGGCAAAACCCCCAGGGGAGGAAGAAGUGGGGAAUCUUCCGAAAUGGGGGAAAGCCUGAGGGAGAAACGCCGGGGGAGUGAAGAAGGUUUGCGGUUCGAAAAACGUUUUUUUUGGGAAAAAAAUUAGGGGAAAGAAACGGUGCAAAUCUUGGGGGUACCAAAUAAAAAAGCAACGGCUAACUCAGG